GCCUAUGGCAAUACUGUCCUGAACACACCCAAUCUUGUUUGAUCUCAGAAGCUAAGCAGGGUUGGGCUUGUUUAGUAUUUGGAUAGGAGGAAGAGCUGCCACAGGGC
Molecule: ribosomal RNA, 107 nt
Filed under: Jaculus jaculus (lesser Egyptian jerboa)
Lineage: Eukaryota; Metazoa; Chordata; Mammalia; Rodentia; Dipodidae
Source: RNAcentral